Molecule: ribosomal RNA, 323 nt
Filed under: uncultured Pseudomonadota bacterium
Lineage: Bacteria; Pseudomonadati; Pseudomonadota
Description: bacterial SSU rRNA
Rfam family: Bacterial small subunit ribosomal RNA
Source: RNAcentral
GAUAAACGUUUGCGGCGUGCCUGAUGCAUGCAAGUCGAACGCCCUGAUUUUUCGCAAGAUUGAUCAGGGAGUGGCGAACGGGUGAGUAAAGUAUCGGAACGUACCUUUCAGUGGGGGAUAACGCAGCGAAAGUUGCGCUAAUACCGCAUAUUCUGUGAGCAGGAAAGCAGGGGAUCGCAAGACCUUGCGCUGAUUGAGCGGCCGAUAUCAGAUUAGCUAGUUGGUGAGGUAAAGGCUCACCAAGGCGACGAUCUGUAGCGGGUCUGAGAGGAUGAUCCGCCACACUGGAACUGAGACACGGUCCAGACUCCUACGGGAGGCUG